GAGACAGCGCUAAUGUGGGAAUUUCCCAGGAGGUAGAGCGAAGAGAAACUUCCAUACAUCUCCUCCACACCCUUGGUACCAUGGACUUUGGUGAGGAAUAUGGAGCCAAAACUUGUUGCCUGUGGAAGAUGGCAUUUGUGAUGUAGUUUCAUGGAUGCAUGGAGUUUGACUGGAAUAGAUGGUGAUGGAAAGAAGAAUAAGAAAAGAAAUACUACUCUGGUCAAGUAAAUAGAGGAAGUGGAAGUUCAAAGAUCAAAGGUAACCCCUGGUGGUACUCAGGGCUCAUUCCUAGUGGACUCAGGGGACCAUAGGAGGUGGAGACAGAACUUGUGUUGAUCACCUGCUAAGCAAAUGCCCUACCCAAGAACUUGGAGAUCUCUGAAGCAGCUGAACGGAGUCUAAUUUGAAGCCUCUCUAUAUGUUCUGGUAAUGCCAUGUGCCUUUGUACCUUUGAGAAAAAUAUCCCUUCCUAGAUGACUUAAAAGGCUCCCAGAGUCCACUUGUUAUGAUUUAAGAAAACAAUAAGUUUCCAAGAAAGGAGAAUACUGUAGUCUCUGAACUUUCAGGAAAAGGAUGGAGCCAUAGCAGAACAGGUAGGGCGUUUGCCUUGCAUGCAGUGGGCCUGGGUUCGAUUCCUCCGCCCCUCUCGGAGAGCCCAGCAAGCUACCGAGAGUAUCCUGCUCACACGGCAGAGCCUGGCAAGCUACCCGUGGCAUAUUUGAUACGCCAAAAACAGUUAACAACAAGUCUCACAAUGGAGACGUUACUGGUGCCCGUUCGAGCAAAUCGAUGAACAACAGGAUGAUAGUGACAAUAUAAAUGAAUCCUUGAACAGCAGAACUGAAGGUACCAAAGUAUGAUGUGGGAGCAGGAGGUGAGUGGACUAGAAGGGACAUAAGCAAGCUGUGGUGGUGGUAGAUAUGCAAUAACUCUUCACAUCAAAUGUAUAAGUAUAAUAGUAUAAACAUAUUAACACUAUUAUAAACCAUGUUACCUCAAAAGUAAUAAUUAAGAAAAAAGAU
This is a long non-coding RNA of Sorex araneus (European shrew), 1022 nucleotides long. RefSeq lists it as uncharacterized. The record is from RefSeq and is a predicted model, not a curated record. The transcript is spliced from 6 exons. Lineage: Eukaryota; Metazoa; Chordata; Mammalia; Eulipotyphla; Soricidae.